UUUCUCUUUUGCAUAACCAUCACCAGCUUGAGGAUAUCCACCGGAUGAGUUUUAAAAGCUGAGAAUUAAUAAAAGGAUGAGUAAUACAGAGGUAACAGUGAUUGUUUAUUGGGUGGCUGUUUACUAGAAACAAAUGAAAGACCUUCAUAUUCCGAGGGCUAUAAAACAGUAAUUGGGGUUGACACCGAUAGCACUUUGAGUGCGUUACAAGAAACUAUUGUUGCUGCUAUUAACUUCAACUUGAGCAAUAACUAUAUGAACAUCAAGUGUAGAUGGCCUAUAAAUCACGGUACUAGUACUAUAAUUAAUAUUGAUAGCGAUAGAGCAGCAUCAUUAAUGUUGAGGUUGUGUACCCCAAUAUUAUACGUGAAUGAAGGAGGACUGUGUGUAAUCCCAACCACUACAUACACUGUGGACACUUUGUAAUUUUAGGUGCGCCACUGAUAAAUAAUGACGUUGGAAGCUCCAGUGGUCAUCAACAUUGGAGAUGUAAUGAAGAUCCUAUUACACCUGCAAAUGAGGCUGAUAAUGUUAAGUUUGAAGCCCCUACAAAUGACAACAAUGAUGAUCACAGUGAUGACCAUGAUGACAAUGAUGACAAUGAUGAUGAUGAUGAUGAUCACAACAAUGAUGACAGUGACGAUGAAGACGAAAGUAGUGAUGAUGAUGCAAGUUUACCCAAUGAUGUGCAAGAAGGUGUAAUAGCAGAAGAUGCCAUGCGCGCAACCACUUCAAACAUGGAGCAAGGGGCAAAUGUGGCCUCACAUGAUUACACACAAUUUGAGCCUAUUCCUGGUAUGUCAAUAAUAGAUG
Molecule: long non-coding RNA, 813 nt
Organism: Dioscorea cayenensis subsp. rotundata (Guinea yam)
Lineage: Eukaryota; Viridiplantae; Streptophyta; Magnoliopsida; Dioscoreales; Dioscoreaceae
Exons: 3
Source: RefSeq, a predicted model, not a curated record